UACGGGGGGGGGCAAGCGUUGUUCGGAAUUACUGGGCGUAAAGGGCGCGUAGGCGGUUUGCUAAGUUGGAUGUGAAAACUCUGGGCUUAACCCAGAGCCUGCAUCCAAAACUGGCAAACUUGAGUACUGGAGGGGAAAGCGGAAUUCCUGGUGUAGCGGUGAAAUGCGUAGAUAUCAGGAGGAACACCGGUGGCGAAGGCGGCACUCUGGGCCGGUACUGACGCUGAGGAGCGAAAGUGUGGGGAGCGAACAGG
RNAcentral lists this ribosomal RNA (254 nucleotides) under uncultured bacterium. Its description in RNAcentral is "partial 16S ribosomal RNA". It matches the Rfam family "Bacterial small subunit ribosomal RNA", at positions 524 to 776 of the family's 1533-position model. The record is from RNAcentral.